Molecule: ribosomal RNA, 440 nt
Filed under: uncultured bacterium
Lineage: Bacteria
Description: bacterial SSU rRNA
Rfam family: Bacterial small subunit ribosomal RNA
Source: RNAcentral
CCUACGGGAGGCAGCAGUGAGGAAUUUUGGACAAUGGGGGAAACCCUGAUCCAGCGACGCCGCGUGAAGGAUGAAGGUCUUCGGAUUGUAAACUUCUUUUGCCUGGGAAUAACCACCCCGUGGAAACACGGGGAAUGAAUGUACCAGGCGAAUAAGCCACGGCUAACUUCGUGCCAGCAGCCGCGGUAAUACGAAGGUGGCAAGCGUUACUCGGAAUUACUAGGCGUAAAGGGCAGGUAGGUGGUUUGGUUAGUCUGUUGUGAAAGCUCCUUGCUCAACGGGGAGAGGCCAACAGAUACUGCCAAGCUUGAGUAUGGGAGAGGGUACUGGAAUUCCCGGUGUAGCGGUGAAAUGCGCAGAGAUCGGGAGGAACACCAAUGGCGAAAGCAGGUACCUGGACCAUUACUGACACUCAGCUGCGAAAGCUAGGGGAGCAAACA